Molecule: long non-coding RNA, 1771 nt
Organism: Macaca fascicularis (crab-eating macaque)
Lineage: Eukaryota; Metazoa; Chordata; Mammalia; Primates; Cercopithecidae
Source: Ensembl
GGCAUCAUUAGUCAUCAGAGGAAUGUACAUUAAAACCACUGUGGGAUACUACCUUACAUCCUUAGAAUGACUAAAAUUAAAAAGUCUGGCAAGCCAGAUUUAGGAUAUGGAGCAACUGGAUCUCCCUUACAUUGUAGACGAGAACAUAAAAUAGAACAACCACUUUGAGAAAAGGUCUGGUGGUUUCUUGUAAAGUUAUAAAUAUAAUUCUGUGGUCUAGUGCUUCUACUCCUAGAUAUUUCUACUAAGAAAAAUUCAAAUGCAUUUUCUCAAAAAUAAUUGUACAAGAACAUUCCAAGAGCUUUGUUUGUAAUGACCCCGAAACUGAUGAAACCAAAUGUUGCACAGGAAAAUUGGUAAGUGACUGUGGUAUGUCCAUCCCAUAGGAUGCUACUCCACAAUAAAAAGAAAUGAACUACUGAUACAUGCGACGGCAUGAAUAAUUCUCAAAAACACACUGAGUAAAAGAAGCCAGAAACUUUAUAAUUCUGUUUGUAUGCAUAUUAAGAACAGACAAAAAGAGUUAUGGUAAUAGACACCAGAAGAUUUGUUGCCUAUGAGAGGUGGGAAUUGAUUGGAAGAGGACAUGUGAGAACCUUCUGAGAAGACAGAUAUUCUAUAUCUUGAUAGGAGCAUGGGUUAUACAUGUGUACACAUUUACCAAAACACAUUUAAUUGGAUAGUUAAUAUCCAUACAUUAUAAUACAUAAACAUUUACAUCAACAUAAAAUUAGAAAGAUUUUUAGUGUCAACCACCUAAUGUCCCUGUCUUAGACCGAGGGGUCCAACUCUUUUCCUAGUAGGAAGACCUUGGCAUAGGAUAUCUGCCAACAGCAUGCAUCCAGACCUGUUUGUACCAAUGCUAUCAUUGCAAUUAAAUCCCAGGUCUGACUUUCAGUGCAAGUACAAGAUACCUUGUAGCUGCAAAAGGUAAGUGUCUCUCUUUACCCUGCCAUGGAGGCUGUGUGGACUUUCACAACAUGCCCUGACUAAUUAGACUGGUUAGUUAGUUGACCUGCACCUAUUAUUUCUGUGUUUACCCAAGACUUCUAAUGCUGGUAAGAAAAGCUAGCAUUUCCUCUGUCUUUAUAAUUCCAUUGCCUCCAUGUCAUUUACAUGCCAAACUUACUCUGUAAGGAGUCAGUAUGCAUGAGAGGGAAGAAGGGAGAAAGAUCUGGGGAGAGGCUUUUACAUCAAUUUUAAAUUUCUAACAAUAAUUUCAUUGCACUGGAUAAUAGCUAACUCCCUGUUCCUGGAAGAGUUCAAGCCAAGAUUUAUGGUACUUGUUAGAAACCUCAGGGGCAGGAAUAGAACACAUAAGCAGGGAUUAAAUAACAUGGUCUUUGUGGUUCUUUCCAACCCUCAUUCAUUCACUUAUUCAUUCCAUCAAUUCCAUUAUUCAUUCCUGUUUCUGCCACUAUGCCAGGCUCUGGUAGAUGCAAAUGAUUCUCCUUAGCCCUCAAAUGUACAGCCAUUAAAAACUUGGUUCUGGAGGCCUAUUUUUAUCUUAAAUGUGCACAUCUAUUUGCAAGCAGAGAUGACAGGUGUGGCUGGCAUUUUCAGCUGCAUCUUUUCAUUGCUGCUAUCUGAUGACACAUUUUCCCUUAUGCCUAUAAAGUGGAUUCCUUAGAGAUGAUGUUGCUUUUAGCUUGAGGUUUCUAGAUGGAAUCAGCACUUGUUUAUUUGUUUGUUUGCACGUAGAAGUCUGAACCUCUUGCUCUGACCUAUUUUUGAAAACAUCCCACAACCACAAAAAAAAAAAAAAAAAAAA